GCGGCCUAUCAGCUUGUUGGUGAGGUAAUGGCUCACCAAGGCAACGACGGGUAGCCGGCCUGAGAGGGCGACCGGCCACACUGGGACUGAGACACGGCCCAGACUCCUACGGGAGGCAGCAGUGGGGAAUAUUGGGCAAUGGAGGAAACUCUGACCCAGCGACGCCGCGUGCGGGAUGAAGGCCUUCGGGUUGUAAACCGCUUUCAGUAGGGAAGAAGCGAAAGUGACGGUACCUACAAAAGAAGCACCGGCUAACUAUGUGCCAGCAGCCGCGGUAAUACAUAGGGUGCAAGCGUUGUCCGGAAUUAUUGGGCGUAAAGGGCUCGUAGGUCGUUUGUCGCGUCGAUUGUGAAAAUCUGAGGCUCAACCUCGGACCUGCAGUCGAUACGGGCAAACUAGAGUGUGGUAGGGGAGACUGGAAUUCCU
RNAcentral lists this ribosomal RNA (426 nucleotides) under uncultured Actinomycetes bacterium. Its description in RNAcentral is "bacterial SSU rRNA". It matches the Rfam family "Bacterial small subunit ribosomal RNA", at positions 233 to 671 of the family's 1533-position model. Lineage: Bacteria; Bacillati; Actinomycetota; Actinomycetes. The record is from RNAcentral.